AAUAAGUCCAGGGUUCUUUCGAACCUUAUUCGAAUUUGCACUUCGGGCUACUGAACCU
Molecule: transfer RNA, 58 nt
Filed under: Furcifer balteatus
Lineage: Eukaryota; Metazoa; Chordata; Lepidosauria; Squamata; Chamaeleonidae
Description: tRNA-Cys
Source: RNAcentral